This is an RNA transcript of Melopsittacus undulatus (budgerigar), 2083 nucleotides long. It is a transcript of the gene named P2X purinoceptor 6, with no coding region annotated. The record is from RefSeq and is a predicted model, not a curated record. NCBI's taxonomy places the organism in Eukaryota, Metazoa, Chordata, Aves, Psittaciformes, Psittaculidae. The transcript is spliced from 12 exons.
GGUGAGCGGAGCGCUGUCGCCGCCAUGCUGGGUGCGCCGUGCCGCGGGCUGCUGGACUACAAGACGACGAAGUUCGCGCUGACGCGGAACUGGCGGGUCGGGCUGCUGCACCGCCUGCUCCAGCUCGGCGUGCUGGGCUACCUGCUCGGGUGGGUGCUGCUGGUGCGCAAGGGCUACCAGGACACAGACCGAGCCCCCCGCGCCUCUGUCUUCACCAAGCUGAAGGGGGCGGCGGCCGCCGAGGUGAAGGGCGCGGGCCGGCGGCUGUGGGACGCGGCGGACUACGCCCGACCCCCACAGGGAGGGAACGUGCUUUUCCUGGUGACCAACUUCAUCGCUACUGCCGGGCAAGCGCAGGGCACCUGCCCCGAGAGCCCCUCUGUUCCUGCUGGGAUGUGCACAGGAGAUGCAGACUGUACCAUGGGAGAGCCAGUGGUUCAUGGCAAUGGGAUAAAAACUGGGAAAUGUGUCAUGUUCAACACCACACAUUCCACCUGUGAGAUCUAUGGCUGGUGUCCUGUGGAGAACAACACCCUGUCCAGGAAACCUCUUCUGGCUGAGGCAGAGAAUUUCACUCUUUUCAUAAGAAAUACUGUCCACUUCACCAAAUUCAACUUCUCCAGAUGCAAUGUUCUGCAAACCAAUGACCCGUACUAUUUCAAGAGCUGCACAUAUGACCCAUCUCUCAGCCCCUCCUGCCCCAUCUUCCGUGUGCAUGACAUGGUGGAGGCAGCUGGAGAGACCUUUGGAGACCUCGCACUGCUGGGAGGGAGCAUCGGAGUUCGCAUUGAGUGGAACUGUGACCUGGAUCGCCCCGCAACCCACUGCCAGCCUCAGUACUCCUUCAGCCUGCAGGACAGGAGGUACAAUUUCAGAACUGCCUCCUACUACUGGGACUCCCAGCGACGGCUCUACCGGACCCUGCUCAAGCUCUAUGGGAUCCGCUUUGAUAUCUCCGUGCACGGGCAGGCUGGGAAAUUCAGCAUAAUUCCUGCUGCUGUGAGCUUUGGCACUGGCGUUGCAUUCUUUGGUGCUCUCCCUGGUGUCCAGAUCAGGGUGUUAGCUGCCCUUCUGUUGUGCUGCUGGGUCAAGGAUCCUGAGCACUGCUGGGACACAGCUCAUGGAGGGAGAUGUUUGUGUGCCCCUGGAAAGGAGUGUUGCUGGCUGGUUUGUUCCAGCUGUCUCAGCCCGCAGGAGUGAGCACCUCCUCUGUGUGUCUGCCUUGACUAGAGGGAGCCAGUGUCCCGCUCCAGCACAAUCAUGCUGUUGCGGUCAUUGAGGUGAGGCAGCCUCUUGUAGAGCACUUCUGCAGUUCUUCCGUUCCAGCAGAGCCCUGGGGAGCCUAGAUCCCUCUGGCCCCUCUUUCCUCACAGAUGUGCUCAUCCCAGACCAUGUGGCCCUGGCUCUGCUUUCAUGCAUUGCUGUCCAGCUGAUUUCAUCUAACCUCUGCAGUACAUGGGAGCAGGCUGCGUCAGAGACCUGCCUGGGUGGCUUGUGCUGGAGGCAGGUCAUGUUUGCAGGGCUUGGUGGGAGCUGGGGCCUGGUUUUCCUAUAGGAAGUGCUGCUACUAACCAUGCUGCUGUGCUUGUCUUGGCUCCAGGCCACGGUGGUCUGUGACCUGGUUCUGCUCUACCUGGAUGCAAAGGCUGACUUCUAUUGGAAGGAGAAGUUUGAGGAGGCAAACCCCCCCAAAGGUAAGAGUGAAGCUGCAGCUUAGCGCCAGUGGGGACCCUCCACCAGGCACCCUGUGCUCCAGAGCAACCUGGGGUAGAUGUGAUGGGGACAUGGCUGCAGCCCAGGUGCAAGAGGCCCUGGCCUGCACCAGGGAGUGUGUGCUGCUUGGCUGGGGCUCUGCCUGCCCUGGAGCCACAUUUGCAUCAGCAGAAGUUCUUGGCUCCUGAUGUAUGAACCCCACGUGCAGCUCCCAGCCAGGGCUGGAGCGGAGCUGCUGCAGGGACUCAGGCUUGCUGGGAAUCUGGUGGCAAGGCUUGAAGCACUGCACUUCUUCCCAUUCCUCAUGGCUAUGGGCCUGGAGUUCCUGUGAAAACCAGGGACCCAGCAGAAUAAAGCUACUUGGAAAGUG